GACGAAGGUGGCAAGCGUUGUUCGGAAUCACUGGGCAUAAAGCGCACGUAGGCGGUGGCGUAAGUCGGGUGUGAAAUCCCUCGGCCUAACCGAGGAACUGCGCCCGAUACUGCGUUGCUUGAGGACCAAAGGGGUGCAUGGAAUUUCCGGUGGAGCGGUGAAAUGCGUUGAUAUCGGAAGGAACGUCGGCGGCGAAAGCGGUGCACUGGUUGGUCUCUGACGCUGAGGUGCGAAAGCCAGGGGAGCAAACGGGAUUAGAUACCCUGGUAGU
Molecule: ribosomal RNA, 271 nt
Filed under: uncultured bacterium
Lineage: Bacteria
Description: partial 16S ribosomal RNA
Rfam family: Bacterial small subunit ribosomal RNA
Source: RNAcentral